Molecule: small nucleolar RNA, 123 nt
Organism: Peromyscus maniculatus bairdii (prairie deer mouse)
Lineage: Eukaryota; Metazoa; Chordata; Mammalia; Rodentia; Cricetidae
Product: U8 small nucleolar RNA
Source: RefSeq, a predicted model, not a curated record
CAUUAAUUCUUCAACUAUAGUAGGAAUCAGCUUAGAAAGUAUGACCGAAAAUGAUGAUUGGAGCUUGCAUGAUCUGCUGAUUAGCAUUUCCAUGUAGCCAGGACCUGACAACAUCCUGGUUGA